AAAAAAAAAGCAAGCUGUCUGCAAUAAUUAAUAGACAAUAAAGCACAUAACUACAGGACAUGCCACCCAACCCAAGUUCCAUUUUACACUUUAGGCUUUAAGCUGCAAGAGCUUGAACUGGGGCCUGGAGGCUACAUCUAAAUUUAUGUGCCCAUUGACUCUCCCCCAAGAAUAUCCCUUUCUUCCUUUAUAACUGCACCAAGUAUACGCUUGUGGUGAUAAGCACAAGAUCAAAUAAUCAUACAUCAACAA
This 252-nucleotide unclassified non-coding RNA is filed under the name Hevea brasiliensis (rubber tree). Lineage: Eukaryota; Viridiplantae; Streptophyta; Magnoliopsida; Malpighiales; Euphorbiaceae. The record is from RNAcentral.